CGGUCUGGCUCAGAUUGAACGCUGGCGAUCUUUACAUACCGUCGAACGGCAGCACGGACUUCGGUCUGGUGGCGAUGGCGAACGAGUGGUAAUGUAUCGGAACGUGCCUAGUAGCGGGGGAUAACUACACUGGCGCUAUCCACGCUACGCCCUUCGGGGAAAGCGAGGACCUUCGGGCCUCGCACUAUUAGAGCGGCCGAUAUCGGAUUGCUGAUUCUGGUGGGUAACGGCUCACCAAGGCGACUAGCGAUCCGUAGCUGGUUUGAAGGACAGCCAGCCACACUGGGACUGAGACACGGCCCAGACUCCUACGGGAGGCAGCAGUUAAGGAAUUUUGGACAAUGGGAAACCUGAUCCAGCCAUCCCGCGUGUGCGAUGAAGGCCUUCUGGUUUAUGGCCUUUGGCAGGGAAAGGAAAGCAGCUGCGGAUAUGCCCCGAUGCAACUGACAGUACCUGCAGAAUAAGCGCAACCUAACUACGUGCCAGCAGCCGCGGUAAUACGUAGGGUGCAAGCGUUAAUCGAAUUACUGGGCGUAAAGCUGCGACGGUUCGAGAAAAAGAUGUAAAUCCCAGAGCUUAACUUUGGGGCCUACAUUUACCACUCUCCGCUGACAAGAAGAAUUAUAGAGGGAGGUGAAUUCCGCGUGUAGCGGUAAUCGUAGAUGUCGGAGGGAACACCGAUGGCGAAGGCAGCCUCUCGGAGAUAACACUGACGCUCAUGCACAGCUUAGCGGAGGCAGGCAGAGUUAGAUACCCUGGUGAUCCACGCCCUAAACGAUGUCAACUAGCUGUUGGGGCCUUCGGGCCUUGGUGGCCGCAGCUAACGCGUGAAGUUGACCGCCUGGGAAAUUACGGUCGCAAGAUUAAAACUCAAAGGAAUUGACGGGGACCCGCACAAGCGGUGGGUAGUCAUGGAUUAAUUCGAUGCAACGCGAAAAAUAUACCUACAUGACGCUAUCUGAAUCCGAAGAGAUUUGGGAGUGCUCGCAAAGAGAACUGGAACACAGGUGCUGCAUGGCUGUCGUCAGCUCGUGUCGUGAGAUGUUGGGUUGGUCUACGCAACAUUUGCAACCGCCAUAUUGGUCCCAACACACGAAGGGCACUCUAAUGGGGCCUACCGAAGUGGCAAGCCGGAGGAGAAGUGUGGGGAUGACGUCGAAGUCCUCAUGGCCAUAUGGGUAGGGCUUCACACGUCAUACAAUGAGGUCGGGACAGAGGUCGCCAACCCGCGAGAGGCCAAUCCCAGGAAACCCGAUCGUCGUGGAUCGCAGUCUGCAAAAACCGACUGCGCGUGAAGUCAGGAAUCGCUGGUAAUCGCGGAUCAACGGCAUGUCGCGGUGAAGGCCGUUAGGUCCUGUACACACCGCCCGUCCUGGGAGUGGGUUUUACCAGAAGUAGUUAGCCUAACCGUAAGGAGGGCGAUUACCACGAUUCGGCUGGGGUGAAGUCGUAACAAGGUAA
Molecule: ribosomal RNA, 1461 nt
Filed under: uncultured Bordetella sp.
Lineage: Bacteria; Pseudomonadati; Pseudomonadota; Betaproteobacteria; Burkholderiales; Alcaligenaceae
Description: partial 16S-23S ribosomal RNA intergenic spacer
Rfam family: Bacterial small subunit ribosomal RNA
Source: RNAcentral